Molecule: ribosomal RNA, 492 nt
Filed under: uncultured bacterium
Lineage: Bacteria
Description: partial 16S ribosomal RNA
Rfam family: Bacterial small subunit ribosomal RNA
Source: RNAcentral
AGUGAACGCUGGCGGUAGGCCUAACACAUGCAAGUCGAACGGCAGCACAGUAAGAGCUUGCUCUUACGGGUGGCGAGUGGUGGACGGGUGAGGAAUACAUCGGAAUCUACUUUUUCGUGGGGGAUAACGUAGGGAAACUUACGCUAAUACCGCAUACGACCUACGGGUGAAAGCAGGGGAUCUUCGGACCUUGCGCGAUUGAAUGAGCCGAUGUCGGAUUAGCUAGUUGGCGGGGUAAAGGCCCACCAAGGCGACGAUCCGUAGCUGGUCUGAGAGGAUGAUCAGCCACACUGGAACUGAGACACGGAUCAGACUCCUACGGGAGGCAGCAGUGUGAAAUGUUGGACAAUGGGCGCAAGCCUGAUCCAGCCCUACCGCGUGGGUGAAGAAGGCCUUCGGGUUUUAAAGCCCUUUUGUUGGGAAAGAAGAGCAGCAGAUUAAUACCCCGCUGUUCUGACGGUACCCAAAGAAUAAGCACCGGCUAACUUCGUG